This 121-nucleotide transfer RNA is filed under the name bacterium. RNAcentral describes it as "tRNA-Gly". The record is from RNAcentral.
GCGCGGGUAGUUCAGUGGUUAACUGUAAAGUCCACAGAGAAUCCGGCCUUGCCAAGGCUGGGACCCGAGAAAUAAUUUUUUAGGAAGUUAUUUGGGAUUUCGAAUCUCGGCCCGCGCACCA